AGUAUAAGCAAUCUAUACAGUGAAACUGCGAAUGGCUCAUUAAAUCAGUUAUCGUUUAUUUGAUAGUACCUUACUACAUGGAUAACCGUGGUAAUUCUAGAGCUAAUACAUGCUAAAAACCCCGACUUCGGAAGGGGUGUAUUUAUUAGAUAAAAAACCAACGCCCUUCGGGGCUCCUUGGUGAUUCAUAAUAACUUAACGAAUCGCAUGGCCUUGAGCCGGCGAUGGUUCAUUCAAAUUUCUGCCCUAUCAACUUUCGAUGGUAGGAUAGUGGCCUACCAUGGUAUCAACGGGUAACGGGGAAUUAGGGUUCGAUUCCGGAGAGGGAGCCUGAGAAACGGCUACCACAUCCAAGGAAGGCAGCAGGCGCGCAAAUUACCCAAUCCCGACACGGGGAGGUAGUGACAAUAAAUACUGAUACAGGGCUCUUUUGGGUCUUGUAAUUGGAAUGAGUACAAUUUAAAUCCCUUAACGAGGAACAAUUGGAGGGCAAGUCUGGUGCCAGCAGCCGCGGUAAUUCCAGCUCCAAUAGCGUAUAUUAAAGUUGUUGCAGUUAAAAAGCUCGUAGUUGAACCUUGGGCCUGGCUGGCCGGUCCGCCUCACCGCGUGUACUGGUCCGGCCGGGCCUUUCCUUCUGGGGAUCCGCAUGCCCUUCACUGGGUGUGCCGGGGAACCAGGACUUUUACUUUGAAAAAAUUAGAGUGUUCAAAGCAGGCCUUUGCUCGAAUACAUUAGCAUGGAAUAAUAGAAUAGGACGUGCGGUUCUAUUUUGUUGGUUUCUAGGACCGCCGUAAUGAUUAAUAGGGAUAGUCGGGGGUGUCAGUAUUCAAUUGUCAGAGGUGAAAUUCUUGGAUUUAUUGAAGACUAACUACUGCGAAAGCAUUCACCAAGGAUGUUUUCAUUAAUCAGUGAACGAAAGUUAGGGGAUCGAAGACGAUCAGAUACCGUCGUAGUCUUAACCGUAAACUAUGCCGACUAGGGAUCGGGCGAUGUUAUCAUUUUGACUCGCUCGGCACCUUACGAGAAAUCAAAGUCUUUGGGUCUGGGGG
RNAcentral lists this ribosomal RNA (1049 nucleotides) under Spissiomyces ramosus. RNAcentral describes it as "SSU rRNA". It matches the Rfam family "Eukaryotic small subunit ribosomal RNA", at positions 62 to 1120 of the family's 1831-position model. The record is from RNAcentral. Lineage: Eukaryota; Fungi; Ascomycota; Dothideomycetes.